UACGAGGGGUGCAAGCGUUGUUCGGAAUUAUUGGGCGUAAAGGGCAGGUAGGUGGUCUUGAAAGUCUGCUGUGAAAUCCCCGGGCUUAACCUGGGAAGUGCGGCAGAUACUCCAAGACUUGAGUACUGGAGGGGUUCGUGGAAUUCCCGGUGUAGCGGUGAAAUGCGUAGAUAUCGUAAGGAAGACCAGUGGCGAAGGCGGGUCUCUGGACAGUUCCUGACGCUGAGGCACGAAGGUCAGGGGAGCAAACGGG
This 253-nucleotide ribosomal RNA is filed under the name uncultured bacterium. RNAcentral's name for it is "partial 16S ribosomal RNA". It matches the Rfam family "Bacterial small subunit ribosomal RNA", at positions 524 to 776 of the family's 1533-position model. The record is from RNAcentral.